GUUUUUUUUCUUUUUAUCAUUUUUAUUUUAAUAUUAUUUCUGCUUGGAGAAUGAAUGUACCGCUGAAGUGGAAUCGUCAGGUACACUUUCUAAUUGUUUUUGUCUUGUUCGCGAUUCUGGUAUUGAAUUGCCAGAAAUUGUGUUGGGGUGGUCAUUUCAAAUAAAUAUAUCAUUUCCCGCUCCUCAAGUAUAGGCAACCAAUAUAACAUCUUUUCUCGUCAAAUUGUCAAGUCGCAAAAACUUGUUUUGAAUCCCAUCUGUGAAAUAUAGAUACAUCAAUUGGAACUCAUUUUUCCGUAUUUCUCGAGUGUAGAGCAUCUCAGCUAAUCCGAAUAAAGAUUUUCUGUCUUCGACCAUUUGAGUUGGAUUAUUUGGAAAAUUGCAGAUAAUAUCAUAAUUUUGCUGAUUAUUUUGGAUAUUUAUAUCACGUUUUGGAAUCAAGCAGAAUUUCCGUCUUGUACGGGAUAAAAAUUCUACAUACUCUGAUAGAAAUUUCUAUAAAAGCCGCCCUCCAUCUUAGGCUUUCAAUUCUUUCAAUUCUUCUGAAUAUUUUACUGAUUCGAUAUAUAAGUGGAUCAACCUGAAUUAUUGGCGUGUUGGUUGAUGCAAAGACAUCCCUUGGACAUAGGCACCCCCAUUGCCUUAUACUGAGGGUUGGAAUAACUUCUAACCGGUUGGGAGCGAACCGAAUUCAACAUUUCCA
Harmonia axyridis is the source of this 703-nucleotide long non-coding RNA. RefSeq lists it as uncharacterized. The record is from RefSeq and is a predicted model, not a curated record. The transcript is spliced from 2 exons. NCBI's taxonomy places the organism in Eukaryota, Metazoa, Arthropoda, Insecta, Coleoptera, Coccinellidae.